This 410-nucleotide unclassified non-coding RNA is filed under the name Yarrowia lipolytica. The record is from RNAcentral. Lineage: Eukaryota; Fungi; Ascomycota; Dipodascomycetes; Dipodascales.
CCAACCACCUACAACUACAGUUCGAUACUACAGCCACAAUGGAGCCCACAAUGUCCCCUUCGCAGCAACAGGCAAGCAAGCCUACGCUCUACACCAUUCCAAACUACGACUUUGACGCCGACAAGCCUCAACUCAACUGGUCCUUGACUCAAACCAUUCUCGAGUACAUUGCUUCACCUUUCAGACGACAGAAGUAGGAUACAAUGAUGAAUGAAUACAACGAUCUUUGGUUAAUGAAUACGGUAAUGAAUCGAUAAUGAGUUGAUUAGUUAGAGUACAGUAAAGAGACAUGCUACGGGGUGUACAACUAAGACUGCCUAAACAAGUUUUGUUCUCUUCAGGUCAGGUAGGACAUUGUAUAGUCAAUCGCCUUAUAGGACUGCAAAAUGAAAUUUGAAAAGAUCAAAGUA